AAAGGGUACGUAGGCGGUCUAAUAAGUCAGAUGUGAAAACCCUGGGCUCAGCCUGAGGCCUGCGUCUGAUACUGUUAGGCUAGAGUUACGGAGAGGAAGUCGGAAUUCCUGGUGUAGGGGUGAAAUCUAUAGAUAUCAGGAAGAACACCGGUAGCGAAGGCGGACUUCUGGACGUAAACUGACGCUGAUGUACGAAAGUUAGGGUAGCAAACAGGAUUAGAGACCCUGGUAGUCCUAACCGUAAACGUUGUAUACUAGGUGGUGGCGUUUUGAUCGCGUCACUGCCGUAGCUAACGCAUUAAGUAUACCGCCUGGGGAGUAUGCCGGCAACGGUGAAACUCAAAGGAAUUGACGGGGGCCCGCACAAGCAGUGGAGCAUGUUGUUUAAUUCGAUGAUACGCGAGGGACCUUACCAGGUCUUGACAUAUACCCGGAUGUUCCAGAGAUGGAUCAGUCCUUCGGGACGGGUAUACAGGUGCUGCAUGGUUGUCGUCAGCUCGUGCCGUGAGGUGUUGGGUUAAGUCCCGCAACGAGCGCAACCCUUAUUCUUUGUUGCUAACGCGUUAUGGCGAGCACUCUAAGGAGACUGCCGGUGACAAACCGGAGGAAGGUGGGGAUGACGUCAAAUCAUCACGGCCCUUAUGACCUGGGCUACAAACGUGCUACAAUGGGCGGUACAAAGAGUUGCGAGUCUGUGAAGAGGAGCUAAUCUCAAAAAACCGUCCUCAGUUCGGAUUGGAGUCUGAAACCCGACUCCAUGAAGU
This 764-nucleotide ribosomal RNA is filed under the name uncultured organism. RNAcentral describes it as "bacterial SSU rRNA". It matches the Rfam family "Bacterial small subunit ribosomal RNA", at positions 562 to 1326 of the family's 1533-position model. The record is from RNAcentral.